RNAcentral lists this long non-coding RNA (494 nucleotides) under Dermacentor andersoni. Its description in RNAcentral is "uncharacterized LOC126524678". Lineage: Eukaryota; Metazoa; Arthropoda; Arachnida; Ixodida; Ixodidae. The record is from RNAcentral.
GCAGAUGGCGUGACUGCCGACUCACUGCUUGUGGGUCGGACAGCCGCCGGAGGCCGUUGUGACGCUGCCCCCUGACGCGCCACUUCGGCAAAGCUUUUCUUUGGCAGGAUGGGCACGACCGUGAGUACGCGGCGUGAUCCCCAUCACAGUUUACACAGUGUAGAGAGUUCUUACAUUCUUCAGUUGCGUGUUCAAGGGCACUGCAUUUGGCGCAUGUUUGGCGGCCUCGGCAGCUCUGCGAGCUGUGGCCAAAACGUUGGCAUUUGAAACAUCUCAAGGGAUUUGGCACAUACGGGCGUACACGAAGCUUGAUGUACCCGGCCUCGAUUGACUCGGGCAGGACACUUGAAUUGAAGCCCUCCAAGAGCUCAGCCUCAGAGAGCUCCAGCAAAUCAUCGUCCGAGACAACGCCGCGGGAAGUAUUCAUCGUGCGGUGCGGGGUUACUACUACUUGGGUCUCCCCAAAUGAUACUAGUUUUGGCAGUUUCUCAAAU